This 72-nucleotide non-coding RNA is filed under the name unclassified sequences. The record is from RNAcentral.
CCCCCACGAUAGGCGCCACCUCCACGUGGUGUGGGGUGGGCAACUCACUUUGAAAGUGAGGCGGAGAGCGCC